This 403-nucleotide ribosomal RNA is filed under the name uncultured bacterium. RNAcentral's name for it is "bacterial SSU rRNA". It matches the Rfam family "Bacterial small subunit ribosomal RNA", at positions 355 to 774 of the family's 1533-position model. The record is from RNAcentral.
UAGGGAAUAUUGCGAAAUGGGCGAAAGCCCGAUGCAGCAACGCCGCGUGGGCGAUGAAGGCCUUCGGGUCGUAAAGCCCUUUUUGAGGGGAUGAGGAAGGACAGUACCCUCAGAAUAAGCCUCGGCUAACUACGUGCCAGCAGCCGCGGUAAAACGUAGGAGGCGAGCGUUAUCCGGAUUUACUGGGCGUAAAGCGCGUGCAGGCGGAUUGGAGAGUUGGAUGUGAAAGCUCCCGGCUUAACUGGGAGAGGUCGUUCAAUACUUCCAGUCUUGAGUGCAGUAGAGGGCAGUGUAAUUCCGGGUGUAGUGGUGAAAUGCGUAGAUAUCCGGAGGAACACCAGUGGCGAAAGCGGCUUCCUGGACUGUAACUGACGCUCAGACGCGAAAGCUAGGGUAGCAAACG